GCCAGACUCCUACGGGAGGCAGCAGUGGGGAAUAUUGGGCAAUGGGCGCAAGCCUGACCCAGCAACGCCGCGUGAAGGAAGAAGGCUUUCGGGUUGUAAACUUCUUUUCUCAGGGACGAAGAAAGUGACGGUACCUGAGGAAUAAGCCACGGCUAACUACGUGCCAGCAGCCGCGGUAAUACGUAGGUGGCAAGCGUUAUCCGGAUUUAUUGGGCGUAAAGGGCGUGUAGGCGGGAGCGCAAGUCAGAUGUGAAAUCUCAGGGCUCAACCCUGGGCCUGCAUUUGAAACUGUGUUUCUUGAGUGCUGGAGAGGCAAGCGGAAUUCCGUGUGUAGCGGUGAAAUGCGUAGAUAUACGGAGGAACACCAGUGGCGAAGGCGGAUUGCUGGACAGUAACUGACGCUGAGGCGCGAAAGCGUGGGGAGCAAACAGGAUUAGAUACCCCAGUAA
This 449-nucleotide ribosomal RNA is filed under the name uncultured bacterium. RNAcentral's name for it is "bacterial SSU rRNA". It matches the Rfam family "Bacterial small subunit ribosomal RNA", at positions 330 to 793 of the family's 1533-position model. The record is from RNAcentral.